GGGCGAUUAGCUCAGUUGGUUAGAGCGUAGCGUUGACAUCGCUAAGGUCACUGGUUCGAGACCAGUAUCGCCCACCA
Molecule: transfer RNA, 77 nt
Filed under: Chloroflexi bacterium 54-19
Lineage: Bacteria; Bacillati; Chloroflexota; Chloroflexia; Candidatus Chloroheliales
Also listed under: 1 other name
Description: tRNA-Val
Rfam family: tRNA
About the family: Transfer RNA (tRNA) molecules are approximately 80 nucleotides in length. Their secondary structure includes four short double-helical elements and three loops (D, anti-codon, and T loops).
Source: RNAcentral